ACUCUCAGACGUCCUGUCGAUGUCCCCCGUACACGGGUGGACCUGGAGCAAGCCGGAGGAAGGGAAGACCCGACUCCUCUCUGUUUAACCCUCCAAUCCUUGCUUAGGGAGCCAUCUUGAAUCCUUGCAGCUCAGUCUCUGGCAUGGAAAAGGGUAGGGAGUAGAUUUUGAGGCAGUGGUUCUGCAAAACACAAAAACCUGGCCUUGGUGCAGUUUCCCAUUGUUGAGUUGCAUCCCCGCUCCAGCCCUCCUUCAGCGUAGACAGAGGAAAGGAGAGGAAGAGACCAUGUCAGCUUAGUCAAUCACUGGCCCUCCAAGGAGAGAAAUUGGAUCUCAGGCAAUCAGGGCUCUAGACCUGGAGGGAAGACUUUGGUCACCCAGGUGGGAAACACAUUUCCUUACCCUCUUCAAAGGCACCCACGGCACCUCCCUCCUAAGCUCUUCUCACAGUUGCAAUUCUGCCUUGAGACGGGGUGGCUUAAUGUCUGUCUCAUCAGUCUGUCUGAUCCAUUAGGGUAGGACUAUGUUCUCUCAGUCCCCGUGGUAAUGCCCAUUCCCACACCUGUCUGGCACACAGCAAGUUCUCAAUAAAUAUUAACUGGUUGAAUGAAUCCAAAAGAUCUCAUUACAUCUUUUCUCUGCCUCAGACAGUGAUCUUCUGCCGUCAGGCCAAAUGCUCUAGUGGGCUUGGGCCUUGCUGCACCGUGGCCCUCCUGCCUCCCCAUCCCCUACCCGCACCUGGGUGUUCGGUCCUCAUGUCCUUUGAUUCCACAGUGCCCUCCUUCUCAUCAGGCCUUUGCAGAUGCUGUUCCUCUGCUGGGGUGCCCUUCCCAUCCUCUGUGCUUGGUGACC
RNAcentral lists this long non-coding RNA (852 nucleotides) under Marmota monax (woodchuck). The record is from RNAcentral. Lineage: Eukaryota; Metazoa; Chordata; Mammalia; Rodentia; Sciuridae.